Molecule: ribosomal RNA, 314 nt
Filed under: uncultured Tenacibaculum sp.
Lineage: Bacteria; Pseudomonadati; Bacteroidota; Flavobacteriia; Flavobacteriales; Flavobacteriaceae
Description: bacterial SSU rRNA
Rfam family: Bacterial small subunit ribosomal RNA
Source: RNAcentral
GCUUAACACAUGCAAGUCGAGGGGUAACAUUGAUUGCUUGCUAUCAGAUGACGACCGGCGCACGGGUGCGUAACGCGUAUACAAUUUGCCUUGUACAGGAGGAUAGCCUUUAGAAAUGAAGAUUAAUACCUCAUAAUACUUUAUGUGUAGGCAUCAUUCUCUAGUUAAAUAUUUAUGGGUAUGAGAUGAGUAUGCAUCCUAUUACUUAGGUGGUAAGGUAACGGCUUACCAUGACAACCAUAGGGAGGGGGUCUGAGAGGAAUAUCCCCCACACUGGUACAGAGACACGGACCAGACUCCUACGGGAGGCAGCA